Phyllopteryx taeniolatus (common seadragon) is the source of this 289-nucleotide long non-coding RNA. RefSeq lists it as uncharacterized. The record is from RefSeq and is a predicted model, not a curated record. Lineage: Eukaryota; Metazoa; Chordata; Actinopteri; Syngnathiformes; Syngnathidae. The transcript is spliced from 3 exons.
AGAUCAGACACGGCAGAGGGACUGACACCAACGCGAGAGCCCUCCAAGUGCAAACUUUAUUGAGCGUGGACAUAAUAUGCCACAAUGAUCACUCUCAAGCUGUUCACUGCUCUCUUUCUGCUGGCUGGAACCAGCAGUGGACCUAUUAAGGUAAAACGCCAACUGCCACAUGGGUCAUCACGUCUACAUCCCGGACUAUCACAGGCAAAACCAAGAACUCCACCUGGCCCACCGAGACCGCCACCUGAUCCACCAGGAACACCACCAGGACCACCUGCAACCCCUGUUA